RNAcentral lists this ribosomal RNA (497 nucleotides) under uncultured bacterium. RNAcentral describes it as "partial 16S ribosomal RNA". It matches the Rfam family "Bacterial small subunit ribosomal RNA", at positions 28 to 507 of the family's 1533-position model. The record is from RNAcentral.
GACGAACGCUGGCGGCGUGCCUAAUACAUGCAAGUUGAGCGAUGAAGAUUGGUGCUUGCACCAAUUUGAAGAGCAGCGAACGGGUGAGUAACGCGUGGGGAAUCUGCCUUUGAGCGGGGGACAACAUUUGGAAACGAAUGCUAAUACCGCAUAAUAACUUUAAACAUAAGUUUUAAGUUUGAAAGAUGCAAUUGCAUCACUCAAAGAUGAUCCCGCGUUGUAUUAGCUAGUUGGUGAGGUAAAGGCUCACCAAGGCGAUGAUACAUAGCCGAUCUGAGAGGGUGAUCGGCCACAUUGGGACUGAGACACGGCCCAAACUCCUACGGGAGGCAGCAGUAGGGAAUCUUCGGCAAUGGACGAAAGUCUGACCGAGCAACGCCGCGUGAGUGAAGAAGGUUUUCGGAUCGUAAAACUCUGUUGGUAGAGAAGAACGUUGGUGAGAGUGGAAAACUCAUCAAGUGACGGUAACUACCCAGAAAGGGACGGCUAACUACGUG